This 490-nucleotide ribosomal RNA is filed under the name uncultured bacterium. RNAcentral's name for it is "bacterial SSU rRNA". It matches the Rfam family "Bacterial small subunit ribosomal RNA", at positions 8 to 524 of the family's 1533-position model. The record is from RNAcentral.
AGAGUUUGAUCCUGGCUCAGAAUGAACGUUGGCGGCGUGGAUUAGGCAUGCAAGUCGAGCGAGGAAGCUUGUAGCAAUACGAGUCAUUCGAGCGGCGUAAGGGGCAGUAAUACCUGGGAACGUACCCUGAGGUCGGGGAUAGCUGCUGGAAACGGCGAGUAAUACCCGAUGAUCUCGAGAGAGCAAAGGCUUGCCGCCUUCGGAGCGGCCCAGGCGAUAUUAGCUAGUUGGUGGGGUAAUGGCCUACCAAGGCAUAGAUGUCUAGCGGGUGUGAGAGCACGACCCGCGCCACUGGCACUGAGACACUGGCCAGACACCUACGGGUGGCUGCAGUCGAGAAUCUUCGGCAAUGGGGGCAACCCUGACCGAGCGACGCCGCGUGCGGGAUGAAGGCCUUCGGGUUGUAAACCGCUUUGGUCCGAGAGAAAGGGCAACUUGAUCGAUCGGAGAAACAAGGACGGGCUAAGUUCGUGCCAGCAGCCGCGGUAAG